ACGGAGGGGGCUAGCGUUGUUCGGAAUUACUGGGCGUAAAGAAUGCGUAGGUGGUUUAGUAAGUUGGAAGUGAAAGCCCGAGGCUUAACCUCGGAACUGCUUUCAAAACUACUAAUCUAGAGUGUAGUAGGGGAUGAUGGAAUUCCUAGUGUAGAGGUGGAAUUCUUAGAUAUUAGGAGGAACACCGGUGGCGAAGGCGGUCAUCUGGGCUACAACUGACACUGAUGCACGAAAGCGUGGGGAGCAAACAGGA
RNAcentral lists this ribosomal RNA (253 nucleotides) under uncultured prokaryote. RNAcentral's name for it is "partial 16S ribosomal RNA". It matches the Rfam family "Bacterial small subunit ribosomal RNA", at positions 525 to 777 of the family's 1533-position model. The record is from RNAcentral.